Molecule: long non-coding RNA, 317 nt
Filed under: Setaria italica (foxtail millet)
Lineage: Eukaryota; Viridiplantae; Streptophyta; Magnoliopsida; Poales; Poaceae
Description: long non-coding RNA (SITA_LNC001387)
Source: RNAcentral
AGGAUGCCACAUCAUCCCAUGAGGUGUAUUCUCAUGAAUGAAACAGGGAGUCCCAGUGCACAGUUUCAUUUCACGAUUUCAUAGGAUGCCCAUAACAUUUAAUUGUGAGGCAUGUGAUUGGCUAUGGUUAGAUGAAAUGAAACUCUAUAGCCUCCAAUGCAAGUUUCAAUAGGUUUCAUAGUCUUGGAAACAGUGUAUACACAGUUUCAUCCUGAUGAAACUCCUUCCCUCUCUCACUUCAUAACUACCAUGCCAUGUCAUCACAUAUGCUGAUGUGUCACCGUAUUUAAUGUGCAUGAAACCUCUAUGAAACUCCC